This 1290-nucleotide long non-coding RNA is filed under the name Piliocolobus tephrosceles (Ugandan red Colobus). Its description in RNAcentral is "lncRNA (ENSPTEG00000017607.1)". Lineage: Eukaryota; Metazoa; Chordata; Mammalia; Primates; Cercopithecidae. The record is from RNAcentral.
AACAUUUUUAUAUAUUUUUUAAUAUUUAGUAAUGCUAAUAAAAUAAUAAACUACUUUUCAUUACUUCUAGUUUGUUGUUUCUUUUUGUGUCAUUUUUUUUUAUAUUUAUGUAUAUAUAUUUUUAAGACUUUAUUGAAUUUGUUAUACAGAAAUGAGUAAUAUAUUACAUCACUUUCGUGUUUUAAAGGUAGCUACUGAAGAUAAUCCGUUAGUGACAUUCAAUUUAUUUAUAGCUAGUACGAAAGAUAAUCCGAAUAAUGACGGAUCAUGUAAUGAAACAUUAUGUGUUGCUGUACUUGAUAAUAUAAUUAGUGGAGAAUAUUUAAAAAAAUUUAUGACUAACUUUGGAGCUAUCGUUUUUUUUAAUAUUGUUGAAAAUGAAAUUUUAUCAGUUAACUUAAAAAUGUUUGCAUAUUGUUUAUAUAUAAAGUAUAAAGAACAAGCUGCAAUAGAUGUUAUAUUAAGUUAUAGUGUUAAAAUAAAUGACUAUUUUAAAAAUAAUAUACAGAUACCAUAUUUUAUAAAAAUAGAAAAACAAAAUCUUAAUUCCUACAUAAAAGAUUAUUAUAACCAUAAUUACAAUUUGUAUAAUGCUAGAAAAGUAAUUAUUAACGAUAUUAUAAAUUUAAAUAAAGUUAAAAAAAAAAAAAAAAUUAUUAAUAAAGUUGACAGUGAUGGUUUUACAAUUGUUCAGAGGUCGUCGGACAAACCGGAAAUAGUGAAUUCUAUUUUUUCUCAAACCGAUGAUAAACUUAGUUACUUAAAAAGAAAAGAAAAAAAAAAAACUUAUGAAAAUUUUUAUUUAUUUAAGAAAAAAGACAUUCAUAAGCCAAAGUUUAUUUUUACAAAACAAAUAGUAAAGAAAAAGCGAAAAAAGGUGAAGUAAAAAAAAAAAAAAAAAAAAAUAGAAAUUACCGAAUUUAUUUUAAGUUAUUUGUGUAAAUAUAUUGAAUUAGUAUCUAUACAUACAUAUAUAUAAGAAAAAAAUUAAAUAGAAAACAAAAAUUAAAAGUAAUUUUAUGAGACGCUAAAAAUUAUAAAGAUUGUAUAAAUAUAUAAAUGUAUUGAUCUGUGUUUUGUUUUUUAAUUAUUUUCACGCAAAGUAUAUUUACAUUUUUGUUUUGUUUUCAACUGUUUAAUGAUAAAUAUAUAUUUGUUUUUAAUACUUCUUGUUUUAGUCAUUUUAUUAUUUUUUUUUUUUAUGAAAAUUAUUCAUUUAUACUCAUACAUAAUAUAUAUACAUAAGAGGUACUUAAUAAAAGACAGUUUAAACUAUAUUAAAAUAUGUUG